Molecule: ribosomal RNA, 158 nt
Filed under: Alternaria senecionicola
Lineage: Eukaryota; Fungi; Ascomycota; Dothideomycetes; Pleosporales; Pleosporaceae
Description: 5.8S ribosomal RNA
Rfam family: 5.8S ribosomal RNA
About the family: 5.8S ribosomal RNA (5.8S rRNA) is a component of the large subunit of the eukaryotic ribosome.
Source: RNAcentral
CAACUUUCAACAACGGAUCUCUUGGUUCUGGCAUCGAUGAAGAACGCAGCGAAAUGCGAUAAGUAGGGUGAAUUGCAGAAUUCAGUCAAUCAUCGAAUCUUUGAACGCACAUUGCGCCCUUUGGGAUUCCAAAGGGCAUGCCUGUUCGAGCGUCAUUU